This is a small nucleolar RNA of Hibiscus syriacus, 105 nucleotides long. RefSeq annotates it as small nucleolar RNA snoR99. The transcript has a single exon. Lineage: Eukaryota; Viridiplantae; Streptophyta; Magnoliopsida; Malvales; Malvaceae. The record is from RefSeq and is a predicted model, not a curated record.
GUGCUUUAGGGAAGAACUGGUCCCUCACAUAUAAAUUUCCAUCUAAUCACUUUGUUAUUUGCCUUUUUUCCGGUUGCAUACUGAUCAUUAUAAGAUGGGAAAUGU